ACUUAAAUUGAAGAGUUUGAUCAUGGCUCAGAUUGAACGCUGGCGGCAGGCCUAACACAUGCAAGUCGAGCGGUAGCACAGAGAGCUUGCUCUCGGGUGACGAGCGGCGGACGGGUGAGUAAUGUCUGGGAAACUGCCUGAUGGAGGGGGAUAACUACUGGAAACGGUAGCUAAUACCGCAUAACGUCGCAAGACCAAAGUGGGGGACCUUCGGGCCUCAUGCCAUCAGAUGUGCCCAGAUGGGAUUAGCUAGUAGGUGGGGUAACGGCUCACCUAGGCGACGAUCCCUAGCUGGUCUGAGAGGAUGACCAGCCACACUGGAACUGAGACACGGUCCAGACUCCUACGGGAGGCAGCAGUGGGGAAUAUUGCACAAUGGGCGCAAGCCUGAUGCAGCCAUGCCGCGUGUGUGAAGAAGGCCUUCGGGUUGUAAAGCACUUUCAGCGGGG
This 449-nucleotide ribosomal RNA is filed under the name Klebsiella pneumoniae subsp. pneumoniae KPNIH22. RNAcentral's name for it is "bacterial SSU rRNA". It matches the Rfam family "Bacterial small subunit ribosomal RNA", at positions 1 to 444 of the family's 1533-position model. Lineage: Bacteria; Pseudomonadati; Pseudomonadota; Gammaproteobacteria; Enterobacterales; Enterobacteriaceae. The record is from RNAcentral.